UACGGGGUUACAAUGUUUUGUUAAAAUACUUCAUAUAUUCACGAAAGGGGAGAGAAGGCAAUGCUCUCAAGUUUCCACAGACGCUGGCGCUUCUCAAAUUUUAUAGUUCAAAUUCUUCCUAGAGACGAAAGCAUCCACAGCAACAACGGCAGCGAUACUUGCACGUGGAUCAUAAUGCUAACCAUAAGCGACUCUCAGCCCUGCUCACCUCAUGAACAAACCGCUCCCGGUUUAUGUUAUCCUUGGAGAAACACAUCUUGGAAAGCAUGCAGGCACAGGGAACGCUGA
This 288-nucleotide long non-coding RNA is filed under the name Cavia porcellus (domestic guinea pig). Its description in RNAcentral is "lncRNA (ENSCPOG00000030546.1)". The record is from RNAcentral. Lineage: Eukaryota; Metazoa; Chordata; Mammalia; Rodentia; Caviidae.